This 899-nucleotide ribosomal RNA is filed under the name uncultured bacterium. RNAcentral describes it as "bacterial SSU rRNA". It matches the Rfam family "Bacterial small subunit ribosomal RNA", at positions 10 to 920 of the family's 1533-position model. The record is from RNAcentral.
AGUUUGAUCCUGGCUCAGGACGAACGCUGGCGGCGUGCUUAACACAUGCAAGUCGAGCGGUAAGGCUCCUUCGGGAGUACACGAGCGGCGAACGGGUGAGUAACACGUGAGCAAUCUGCCCUUCACUUUGGGAUAACCACCGGAAACGGUGGCUAAUACCGAAUACGACCACUUCAGGCAUCUGAUGGUGGUGGAAAGUUCCGGCGGUGAAGGAUGAGCUCGCGGCCUAUCAGCUUGUUGGUGGGGUAACGGCCCACCAAGGCAACGACGGGUAGCCGGCCUGAGAGGGUGACCGGCCACACUGGGACUGAGACACGGCCCAGACUCCUACGGGAGGCAGCAGUGGGGAAUAUUGGACAAUGGGCGAAAGCCUGAUCCAGCAACGCCGCGUGAGGGAUGACGGCCUUCGGGUUGUAAACCUCUUUCAGCAGGGACGAAGCGCAAGUGACGGUACCUGCAGAAGAAGCACCGGCCAACUACGUGCCAGCAGCCGCGGUAAUACGUAGGGUGCGAGCGUUGUCCGGAAUUAUUGGGCGUAAAGGGCUCGUAGGCGGUUUGUCGCGUCGGGAGUGAAAACUCAGGGCUUAACCCUGAGCCUGCUUCCGAUACGGGCAGACUACAGGUAUGCAGGGGAGAACGGAAUUCCCUGGUGUAGCGGUGAAAUGCGCAGAUAUCAGGAGGAACACCGGUGGCGAAGGCGGUUCUCUGGGCAUUACCUGACGCUGAGGAGCGAAAGUGUGGGGAGCGAACAGGAUUAGAUACCCUGGUAGUCCACACCGUAAACGUUGGGCGCUAGGUGUGGGACUCAUUCCACGAGUUCCGUGCCGCAGCUAACGCAUUAAGCGCCCCGCCUGGGGAGUACGGCCGCAAGGCUAAAACUCAAAUGAAUUGACGGGGGC